GGCCCCGUCGUCUAGCCAGGAAGGAUGCGGGUCUGCGGAACCCGUGGGCCCGGGUUCAAAUCCCGGCGGGGCCGCCA
This 77-nucleotide transfer RNA is filed under the name Thermoprotei archaeon. RNAcentral describes it as "tRNA-Arg". It matches the Rfam family "tRNA". From Rfam's summary of the family: Transfer RNA (tRNA) molecules are approximately 80 nucleotides in length. Their secondary structure includes four short double-helical elements and three loops (D, anti-codon, and T loops). Further hydrogen bonds mediate the characteristic L-shaped molecular structure. tRNAs have two regions of fundamental functional importance: the anti-codon, which is responsible for specific mRNA codon recognition, and the 3' end, to which the tRNAs corresponding amino acid is attached (by aminoacyl-tRNA synthetases). tRNAs cope with the degeneracy of the genetic code in two manners: having more than one tRNA (with a specific anti-codon) for a particular amino acid; and 'wobble' base-pairing, i.e. permitting non-standard base-pairing at the 3rd anti-codon position. The record is from RNAcentral. Lineage: Archaea; Thermoproteati; Thermoproteota; Thermoprotei. RNAcentral also lists the same sequence under 1 other name.